Molecule: non-coding RNA, 21 nt
Filed under: Caenorhabditis elegans
Lineage: Eukaryota; Metazoa; Nematoda; Chromadorea; Rhabditida; Rhabditidae
Source: RNAcentral
UUUCAAACGUUGUUUCUUGCA